ACAGGUGCUGCAUGGCUGUCGUCAGCUCGUGUCGUGAGAGUGUUCGGGUUAAGUCCCGUAACGAGCGCAACCCUUGUCCUUAGUUACCAGCACGUUAUGUGGGCACUCUAAGGAGACUGCCGGUGACAAACCGGAGGAAGGUGGGGAUGACGUCAAGUCAUCAUGGCCCUUACGGCCUGGGCUACACACGUGCUACAAUGGUCGGUACAAAGGGUUGCCAAGCCGCGAGGUGGAGCUAAUCCCAAUAAAACCGAUCGUAGUCCGGAUCGCAGUCUGCAACUCGACUGCGUGAAGUCGGAAUCGCUAGUAAUCGUGAAUCAGAAUGUCACGGUGAAUACGUUCCCGGGCCUU
This 351-nucleotide ribosomal RNA is filed under the name uncultured Pseudomonas sp. RNAcentral describes it as "bacterial SSU rRNA". It matches the Rfam family "Bacterial small subunit ribosomal RNA", at positions 1034 to 1382 of the family's 1533-position model. The record is from RNAcentral. Lineage: Bacteria; Pseudomonadati; Pseudomonadota; Gammaproteobacteria; Pseudomonadales; Pseudomonadaceae.